UGUCAUAAAUUUUACGUUAUGUUUUCUGAUAGUAUCAAGCUUGGUAGUCUCUAAAUAUUUUGAAAGCGCUCUAAUUACACCUCAUGUGCAGCAUCUUGCAGAAGAUAGAAGGAAUUUGCCAAUAAUUAGAAGUGGACUUUUUUGUCAAACUUCUUUUUAUCAACUAUUAAGUCGGAUCACAUUUGUGAUCAGUGGCAGAGCCAGGAUUUCAAGUUUAUGGGUUCGGAAUUCUAAUCGUUUUAAGAUAUUGAGUUCUAAAUUAAUAAUUUGUAUAUAUUCAAUAAAUUUUUUAAAACAAACAAAUGGUUCGAACCAAAUUCUAGCGGGUUCAGCCGAAUUCACUCGAAGCACUCUAGCUCUGC
This 362-nucleotide long non-coding RNA is filed under the name Nicotiana benthamiana. RNAcentral's name for it is "long non-coding RNA (NBEN_LNC005025)". Lineage: Eukaryota; Viridiplantae; Streptophyta; Magnoliopsida; Solanales; Solanaceae. The record is from RNAcentral.